Molecule: ribosomal RNA, 384 nt
Filed under: marine copepod environmental sample
Lineage: Eukaryota; Metazoa; Arthropoda; Copepoda
Description: SSU rRNA
Rfam family: Eukaryotic small subunit ribosomal RNA
Source: RNAcentral
AGCUCCAAUAGCGUAUAUUAAAGUUGUUGCGGUUAAAAAGCUCGUAGUUGGAUCUCGGCGGGUAGAAGGCGGUACACCUCUUAGGUUUACUGCCUUUUUACCCCUUGUUUUUUCUAGAGGUUUCUGGGUGCUCUUCAUUGAGUGUCCUUGGAUGCUAGCAGGUUUACUUUGAAAAAAUUAGAGUGCUCAAAGCAGGCUACUACGCUUGAAUAUUCGUGCAUGGAAUAAUAGAAUAGGAAGUCGUUUCUAUUUUGUUGGUUUUCGGAAAUCGACUUAAUGAUUAAUAGGGACAGUCGGGGGCAUUUGUAUUCAAACGACAGAGGUGAAAUUCUUGGACCGUUUGAAGACAAACUACUGCGAAAGCAUUUGCCAAGAAUGUUUUCA